This 468-nucleotide ribosomal RNA is filed under the name uncultured bacterium. RNAcentral describes it as "partial 16S ribosomal RNA". It matches the Rfam family "Bacterial small subunit ribosomal RNA", at positions 28 to 507 of the family's 1533-position model. The record is from RNAcentral.
GACGAACGCUGGCGGCGUGCUUAACACAUGCAAGUCGAACGGAAAGGCCCUGCUUUUGUGGGGUGCUCGAGUGGCGAACGGGUGAGUAACACGUGAGUAACCUGCCCUUGACUUUGGGAUAACUUCAGGAAACUGGGGCUAAUACCGGAUAGGAGCUCCUGCUGCAUGGUGGGGGUUGGAAAGUUUCGGCGGUUGGGGAUGGACUCGCGGCUUAUCAGCUUGUUGGUGGGGUAGUGGCUUACCAAGGCUUUGACGGGUAGCCGGCCUGAGAGGGUGACCGGCCACAUUGGGACUGAGAUACGGCCCAGACUCCUACGGGAGGCAGCAGUGGGGAAUAUUGCGCAAUGGGCGGAAGCCUGAUGCAGCAACGCCGCGUGCGGGAUGACGGCCUUCGGGUUGUAAACCGCUUUCGCCUGUGCCGAAGCGUGAGUGACGGUAAUGGGUAAAGAAGCACCGGCUAACUACGUG